GCCUGGGUGGCUCAGUGGUUGAGCAUCUGCCUUUGACUCAGGUCAUGAUCCCGGGGUCCUGGGAUCAAGUCCCACAUCGGGCU
This 83-nucleotide transfer RNA is filed under the name Canis lupus familiaris (dog). It matches the Rfam family "tRNA". Rfam says of the family: Transfer RNA (tRNA) molecules are approximately 80 nucleotides in length. The record is from Rfam by way of RNAcentral. Lineage: Eukaryota; Metazoa; Chordata; Mammalia; Carnivora; Canidae.